CAGACCUCUAAUCGGAAAAGACUACCCGCUGAGUUUAAGCAUAUCAAUAAGCCGGAGGAGAUCAUUG
Molecule: ribosomal RNA, 67 nt
Filed under: Sanionia uncinata
Lineage: Eukaryota; Viridiplantae; Streptophyta; Bryopsida; Hypnales; Amblystegiaceae
Description: partial 28S ribosomal RNA
Source: RNAcentral